GGAUUAGAUACCCUGGUAGUCCACGCCGUAAACGUUGGGCACUAGGUGUGGGGAGGAAUCAACCCUUUCCGUGCCGUAGCUAACGCAUUAAGUGCCCCGCCUGGGGAGUACGGCCGCAAGGCUAAAACUCAAAGGAAUUAACGGGGGCCCGCACAAGCGGCGGAGCAUGUUGCUUAAUUCGAGGCAACGCGAAGAACCUUACCUGGGUUUGACAUGUACCGAAAAGCCAUAGAGAUAUGGUGUCCUUCGGGGCGGUACACAGGUGGUGCAUGGUUGUCGUCAGCUCGUGCCG
RNAcentral lists this ribosomal RNA (292 nucleotides) under uncultured bacterium. Its description in RNAcentral is "partial 16S ribosomal RNA". It matches the Rfam family "Bacterial small subunit ribosomal RNA", at positions 775 to 1067 of the family's 1533-position model. The record is from RNAcentral.